Solanum lycopersicum (tomato) is the source of this 103-nucleotide non-coding RNA. The record is from Rfam. Lineage: Eukaryota; Viridiplantae; Streptophyta; Magnoliopsida; Solanales; Solanaceae.
AAUUCUAUCACAAAUAUUGUCUGAUAAAAUUGGAACGAUACAGAGAAGAUUAGCGUGAUCCUUGCACAAGGACGACAAUGUUCAAGGAGUUUUUCAUGUUUAC